AAUUGCUUUUGUUUGUGGAAACACCACGUAAAUUUAUUACUGCAGUAAUAAAUUUACGUGGUGUUUCCACAAACAAAAGCAAUUAU
Non-coding RNA from Paramuricea clavata, 86 nucleotides. Lineage: Eukaryota; Metazoa; Cnidaria; Anthozoa; Malacalcyonacea; Plexauridae. The record is from the annotation of a GenBank genome assembly.